CUUGAGUGUAAUGCAAUCGGGAGGGGGAGGCGGUCGCGCUGGGGGCGGCGCGACGCGGCUCGGGCCCGACAGUGCCCCACCGGGGCCCUAGUUAUUUUUGUCCUCACUGGCCUCCAAGUUUUCUAGGAUGAUGCAAUGUCCAGCCAUCAACACAUUUGUGAAGGAAUUUUUACUCCCCAAAAGAGCCCCCCCCCCAUGGCAGGAGAAAAAAGUCAAUUUUUUCUUGUCCCCUAAGGUGGAAAUUCACACUAUUGACUGUCACGCCUGUACGCUUUAUCAUAUUGACACAAAAAUUGACACACAUAUGUAUCUCAAUAAGAUCUACAAAAAAGUCAAUGCGCGCGUAUCUGUCAAAUGUACGGUUAAAGGGCUAUUUUGCAUUUUUUGCCGAUUCGCACACAUUGGAAUGUGGCUAACUCCUCCUAAGGCUUUCGUCCCACUGACACCAAAUUUGCUCAGGCCAAUCUACACCCCAUGGCCAUUCAAAGUUGUAAAAAUCAUGACGCUGCACCCCACGGUUUACGUUCUAGGGGGCGCCAAAGAUGACCCAAAUAUCCAAAUUCUUAAAAGAAUCCACAUCCCCCCCCCAUCCCCCACCCCCCAUGGCAGGAGAAACAGUCAAGUUUUUCCUGCCCAUCACUCAAUGGCUCAAUCGCAUCGCUCUCCCGGCAACACCGUAACGAGGAGCAACUUGCCGUUUGGAUAUAUCCUAGCUGUGUUUGUGCCCUCACUCAUGGUCCAGACUUUUUUCAAAUAGGACAUGUAGUUUGUCUGCAGCGAGUGUUUUGGUAGAAACUGCGCCUCCCAUUCAUUAUAAUGGGAAAUGACCACAGACAAGUGCGCACACCAUCUUUGGACCUUGAGUGUGACGCGAUCGGGACAGUGCCCCACCGGGGCCCUAGUUAUUAUUUUUCCUCCGCUUUAAACUGGAAAAUGGCCCACUUCCCACUGGCGAAAACUCAGGAAAUUUGGCAGGACGACCGGGCCUGGUGAAAAAUUCGAUAUUCUGAAGUCGCCCAAACAAUAAAAUGCAAAAUGGCUCCAUAGCGCCCCCUAAGGUGAAAAUUCACAUGACGGCUGUACGCUUUGUCAUAUUGACACAAAAAUUGACACACACAUGUAUCUCAAUAAGAUCUACAAAAAAGUCAGUGCGGGCGUAUCUGUCAAAUGUACGGUUAAUGGGUUAUUUUGCAUUUUUUGCAGAUCUGCACACAUUGGAAUUUCGCUAACUCCUCCGAAGGCUUUCGUUCGACCGGCACCACAUUUGCGCAGGCCAAUCUACCCCCCAUGGCCAUUAAAAGUUGUACAAAUCAUGACGCAAAUGACACAAGUCUUAUAACGUUCUAGGGGGCGCCAAAGAUAACCCAAAAUCCACAUUCUUAAAAGUCUUAUAACUUUUUAUUUUUGUCCUCACUGCCCUCCAAGUUUUCUAGGAUGAUGCAAUGUCCAGCCAUCAACACAUUUGUGAAGGAAUUUUUACUCCCCAAAAGAGCGCCCCCCAUGGCAGGAGAAAAAAGUCAAUUUUUUCUUGUCCCCUUACAUGAAAAUACACAUUGUUGAGUGUCACGCCUGAACGCUUUGUCAUAUUGACACAAAAAUUGACAAUCAUGUGUAUCUCAAUUAGAUCUACGAAAAAGUCAAAAAGCGCGUAUCUGUAUAAUGUACGGUUAAAGGGCUAUUUCGCAUUUUUUGCCGAUUCGCACACAUUGGAAUGUGGCUAUCUCCUCCUAAGGCUUUCGUCCCAUCGGCACCAAAUUUGCUCAAGCCGAUCUACAUCCCAUGGCCAUUCAAAGUUGUAAAAAUCAUGACGCUGCACCCCACGGUUUACGUUCUAGGGGGCACCAAAGAUGACCCAAAAAUCCACAUUCUUAAAAGUCAUUUUGGCCACUGCAGGAGUACAGAGUACUGCAGUUCUAGGGGGCGCCAAAGAUGACACAAAAAUCCACAUUCUUAAAAGUCUUUUUGGCCACUGCAGGAGUACAGAGUACUGCAGGAUACACACACAUAUACACACACACACACACACACACACACACACACACACACACACACACACACACACACACUCAGAGUCUGUUUUUUAGCACCUGCAAAAACAUGCUGUUUACAUAUUUGACAAGAAUGCAGAGGCUUCCUUUUGCCCCUGAAAAAAAUCAGAUUUCAAACACAACUUGACUGUUCAUUUCUCCAAAAGACAACCAUGAAGCUCCAUCCAAACCUGAAGCAGAUAGUUGGUGCAUGUGUACAGUAACCUGAGGGGAGUGAGGUGACUAUUUCUGAGGAGAACAUGAGCAGUGAAGAUUCACCUUGGAGCUAGAACAGGGACGUGCACAUGAUUAUACAGGGGCAGGGGCUCAAGUUUUUUCCAGUCAUUUAUACAAUAUGGAAAUUAAUGUGAAAUUAAAACACAAAUAUGUGUGAUGAACUGUUUUUAAAACUUAAACUUCAAAUAAAAAUUGUAAACUUCAAAACAUAUGCAAAUUUUUAACAAAGAACAUAGUUAUUUACCUCUAUUUACAUCAAAAUGCAGGCAAUGGCCCAGGCGUUCUUUGUAAAAUUAUUUACAAAACACUGUAUAGUCUCACAAAUGUCACUUUUUAUUUAUGCCACUACAAAAAAACAUGAUGUAAAUGAUGCAUGAUGUAAAACAUGAUGUAAAAAACUUGUGUAGAUCCUCCUCUAUGUCAGUCCAUGUGUAAUUUUUCCAUAAUUCUUUGUUUUUUGCAGCAUUUUUGUUAGUGUAACUGCAGAUUGUGCUGACAGUCUAUGGCAAAAAAAAACCAAAAACUGAAAAUGCCUCAACAUGAACCCCUGGUGGUCUCUGAGGGUGAAACCUGCUAACUGCUGCAGCUCUGUCAGCUUCAGUCUCCCAUGCAGAGCUCGGAGCGCAUGUGUGGCUCUGCACCCUUAGCAGCGUUGCUAACUCCUCAGUAAGGAAAGCCUGCUUCAUGUCAGAGUCUCUAAACUCCAGAAGAAGUCGAUAAAAGUCACUUUCUUUCUAAAAAAAAAGUCGUUAGGGGGUCUGAAAAGUCAUUGAAUCUAACAACAAAGUCGCUAGGUUUGCAACUACGUGUCCCAGACUGCAUCCCUGCUGAGAGUCCCUUCCUCCCUUCUCAUAUUGCAGGAAGAACGUAAGCGCCCGCCCCUUGUCAAUCAGUCACCAUAUAAUUUUGGAUUGGUUGUUGUGGUGAAGUUUUCCACCAAUAGGAGAGAUGUUGUGGUGUGUUUUUUUUUUCCUUUGGCAAGCCUUUUCCGCCUGUAAGACCUGUCGCUAAUGUCUGCAUGCUAUGUUUUCCUGUCGCAUACAGCGCGAUCGAGCGCCGAACGUGAUCAAAAUAAGCAGAAAACAAGUAUCGCGGGCAUAAUUUAUCAUAACUCUGGUUUUAUUUGGCCUAUCAACACAAUUUAAAAACUGGUAUAUAGGUUGAGGUCCUCACUUUUGAGAUAAGUUGAAACAGAGUCAACAAGGCUCCGUCUUGCAGCUACAUCCGGUUAAAUAUGUCAUGUGACUUGAACGCACACACACACACACACACACACACACAGACACACACACACACACACGCACACACACACACUCAGAGUCUGGUUUUUAGCACCUGCAAAAACAUGCUAUUUACAUAUUUGACAAGAAUGCAGAGGCUCCUUUUGCCCCUGAAAAAAAUCAAAUUUCAAACACAACUUGACUGGUCAUUUCUCCAAAAGACAACCAUGAAGCUCCAUCCAAACCUGAAGCAGGCAGUUGGUGCAUGUGUACAGUAACCUGAGGGGAGUGAGGUGACUGCUUCUGAGGAGAACAUGAGCAGUGAAGAUUCACCUUGGAGCUAGAACAGAGACAUGCACAUGAUUAUACAGGGGCAGGGGCUCAAGUUUUUUCCAGUCAUUUAUACAAUAUUGAAAUUAAUGUGAAAUUAAAAAACAAGUAUUAAUAGAAAGGUUAUGACUGUCCUGUGUAGAUGACAGUGAUAUCCAAUAGGCUAGGCACUCACGAGGCUGGCUGUGGCAAGUGUAAGUGAAAGCAACACGCACUGGCAGGAAGAACAGCAAACGCCGAUGAAGGAAAAGGGUCUUUGCAGUGAUGGGCGUUACCAGAGAGGGCGAUGGCCAGAGGACACAAAUGGGACGGGGAGGCAGCGCGUUGGGGGGGGGGCGCGACACAGCUCGGGCCCGCCAGUGCCCCAACGGGGUCCUAGUCUUUGUUUCUUUUUUCUUUUUCCUCCCCUUUGAACUGGAAAAUGGCCCACUUCCCACUGGCGAAAACUCAUGAAAUUUGGCAGGACGACCGGGCCUGGUGAAAAAUUUGAUAUUCUGAAGUCGCCCAAACAAUACAAUGCAAAAUGGCUCCAUAGCGCCCCCUAAGGUGAAAAAUUCACCUGACGCCUGUACGCUUUGUCAAAAUGACACAAAAAUUGACACACACAUGUAUCUCAAUAAGAUCUACAAAAAAGUCAGUGCGGGCGUAUCUGUCAAAUGUACGGUUAAAGGGUUAUUGCGCAUUUUUUGCCGAUCCGCACACAUUGGAAUUUCGCUAACUCCUCCGAAGGCUUUCGUUCCACCGGCACCACAUUUGCUCAGGCCAAUCUACACCCCAUGGCCAUUAAAAGUUAUUCAAAUCAUGACGCUGCACCCCACGGUUUAGGUUCUAGGGGGCGCCAAAGAUAACCCUAAAAUCCACAUAUUUCAAAGUCUUAUAACUUUUUAUUUUUGCCCUCACUGGCCUCCAAGUUUUCUAGGAUGAUGCAAUGUCCAGCCAUCAACACAUUUGUGAAGGAAUUUUUACUCCCCAAAAGAGCGCCCCCCAUGGCAGGAGAAAAAAGUCCAUUUUUUCUUGUCCCAUAAGGUGAAAAUUCACACUAUUGACUGUCACGCCUGUACGCUUUGUCAAAAUUACACAAAAAUUGACACACACAUGUAUCUCAAUAAGAUCUACAAAAAAGUCAGGGCGGGCGUAUCUGUCAAAUGUACGGUUAAAGGGUUAUUGCGCAUUUUUUGCCGAUCCGCACACAUUGGAAUUUCGCUAACUCCUCCGAAGGCUUUCGUUCCACCGGCACCACAUUUGCUCAGGCCAAUCUACACCCCAUGGCCAUUAAAAGUUAUUCAAAUCAUGACGCUGCACCCCACGGUUUAGGUUCUAGGGGGCGCCAAAGAUAACCCUAAAAUCCACAUAUUUAAAAGUCUUAUAACUUUUUAUUUUUGUCCUCUCUGGCCUCCAAGUUUUCUAGGAUGAUGCAAUGUCCAGCCAUCAACACAUUUGUGAAGGAAUUUUUACUCCCUAAAAGAGCGCCCCCCCAUGGCAGGAGAAAAAAGUCCAUUUUUUCUUGUCCCAUAAGGUGAAAAUACACAUUGUUGACUGUCAUACCUGUAUGCUUUGUCAUAUUGACACAAAAUUUGACACACACAUGUAUCUCAAUAAGAUCUACGAAAAAGUCAAUGCGCGCGUAUCUGUAAAAUGUACGGUUAAAGGGCUAUUUUGCAUUUUUUGCCGAUUCGCACACAUUGGAAUGUGGCUAACUCCUCCUAAGGCUUUCGUCCCACUGAUACCAAAUUUGCUCAGGCCAAUCUACACCCCAUGGCCAUUCAAAGUUGUAAAAAUCAUGACGCUGCACCCCACGGUUUACGUUCUAGGGGGCGCCAAAGAUGACCCAAAUAUCCACAUUCUUAAAAGAAUCCACAUCCCCCCCCCCAUCCCCCAUCCCCCAUCCCCCAUCCCCCAUGGCAUGAGAAACAGUCAAGUUUUUCCUGCCCAUCACUCAAUGGCUCAAUCGCAUCGCUCUCCCGGCAACACCGUAACGAGGAGCAACUUGCCGUUUGGAUAUAUCCUAGCUGUGUUUGUGCCCUCACUCAUGGUCCAGACUUUUUUCAAAUAGGACAUGUAGUUUGUCUGCAGCGAGUGUUUUGGUAGAAACUGCGCCUCCCAUUCAUUAUAAUGGGAAAUGACCACAGACAAGUGCGCACACCAUCUUUGGACCUUGAGUGUGACGCGAUCGGGAGGGGGAGGCGGUCGCACUGGGGGCGGCGCAACGCGGCUCGGGCCCGCCAGUGCCCCAACGGGGCCCUAGUUAUUAGGGCCCGAGCGUAGCUGCUAAGCAGCUGCGAGAGCCCUCUUGUUCCUGAUGGAUUCUUCUUUCGUUAUUUUUCCUCCGCUUUAAACUGGAAAAUGGCCCACUUCCCACUGGCGAAAACUCAUGAAAUUUGGCAGGAAGACCGGGCCUGGUGAAAAAUUCGAUAUUCUGAAGUCGCCCAAACAAUACAAUGCAAAAUGGCUCCAUAGCGCCCCCUAAGGUGAAAAUUCACAUGCGGGCUGUACGCUUUGUCAAAAUGACACAAAAAUUGACACACACAUGUAUCUCAAUAAGAUCUACAAAAAAGUCAGUGCGGGCGUAUCUGUCAAAUGUACGGUUAAAGGGUUAUUUCGCAUUUUUUGCAGAUCUGCACACAUUGGAAUUUCGCUAACUCCUCCGAAGGCUUUCGUUCCACCGGCACCACAUUUGCGCAGGCCAAUCUACCCCCCAUGGCCAUUAAAAGUUGUACAAAUCAUCUUGCUGCACCCCACGGUUUAGGUUCUAGGGGGCGCCAAAGAUAACCCAAAAAUCCAAAGUGUUAAAAGUCUUAUAACUUUUUAUUUUUCUCCAAACUGGCCUCCAAGUUUUCUAGGAUGAUGCAAUGUCCAGCCAUCAACACAUCUGUGAACAAAUUUUUACUCCCCAAAAGAGCGCCCCCCCAUGGCAGGAGAAAAAAGUCCAUUUUUUCUUGUCCCGUAAGGUGAAAAUACACAUUUUUGAGUGUCACCCCUGUACCCUUUGUCAUAUUGACACAAAAUUUGACACACACAUGUAUCUCAAUAAGAUCUACGAAAAAGUCAAUGCGCGCGUAUCUGUCAAAUGUACGGUUAAAGGGUUAUUCCGCAUUUUUUGCCGAUCCGCACACAUUGGAAUUUCGCUAACUCCUCCGAAGGCUUUCGUUCCACCGGCACCACAUUUGCUCAGGCCAAUCUACACCCCAUGGCCAUUAAAAGUUAUUCAAAUCAUGACGCUGCACCCCACGGUUUAGGUUCUAGGGGGAGCCAAAGAUAACCGUAAAAUCCACAUAUUUAAAAGUCUUAUCACUUUUUAUUUUUGUCCCCACUGGCCUCCAAGUUUUCUAGGAUGAUGCAAUGUCCAGCCAUCAACACAUUUGUGAAGGAAUUUUUACUCGGCAAAAGAGCGCCCCCCCAUGGCAGGAGAAAAAAGUCAAUUUUUUCUUGUCCACUAAGGUGAAAAUACACAUUGUUGAGUGCUACGCCUGUAUGUUUUGUCGUAUUGACACAAAAUUUUACAUACACGUGUAUUUCAAUAAGAUCUUCAAAAAAGUCAAUGGCCACGUAUCUGUAAAAUGUACGGUUAAAGGGUUAUUUCGCAUUUUUUGCAGAUUCGCACACAUUGGAAUUUCGCUAAUUCCUCCGAAGGCUUUCGUUCCACCGGCACCACAUUUGCUCAGGCCAAUCUACACCCCAUGGCCAUUAAAAGUUAUUCAAAUCAUGACGCUGCACCCCACGGUUUAGGUUCUAGGGGGCGCCAAAUAUAACCCUAAAAUCCACAUAUUUAAAAGUCUUAUAACUUUUUAUUUUUGUCCUCACUGGCCUCCAUGUUUUCUAGGAUGAUGCAAUGUCCAGCCAUCAACACAUUUGUGAAGGAGUUUUUCUCUUUAAAAGAGCGCCCCCCCAUGGCAGGAGAAUAAAGUCAAGUUUUUCCUGUUCAUCAUUCAAUGGCUCAAACGCACUGCUCUCUCGGCAAAAGCGAAAGGAGGAGCAACUUGCCAUUUGGAUAUAUCUUAGCUGUGUUUGUGCCCUCACUCAUGGUCCAGACUUUUUUCAAAUAGGACAUGGAGUUUUUCUGCAGCGAGCGUUUUGGUAGAAACUGCGCCUCCCGUUCAUUAUAAUGGUAAAUGACCACAAACAAGUGCGCACACCAUCUUUGGACCUUGAGUGUGACGCGAUCGGGUGGGGGAGGCGGUCGCGCUGGGGGCGGCGUGACACGGCUCGGGCCCGCCAGUGCCCCAACGGGGCCCUAGUGUUAUUAGGGCCCGAGCGUAGCUGCUAAGCAGCUGCGAGAGCCCUCUUGUUAGGGCCCGAGCGCAGCUGCUAAGCAGCUGCGAGAGCCCUAUUAUUCCCCAAGAGGUUUUUCUUUGUUUCUUUCUUUCUUCUUUUUCCUCCCCUUUGAACUGGAAAAUGGCCCACUUCCCACUGGCGAAAACUCAUGAAAUUUGGCAGGAUGACCGGGCCUGGUGAAAAAUUUGAUAUUCCGAAGUCGCCCAAACAAGAAAAUGCAAAAUGGCUCCAUAGCGCCCCCUAAGGUGAAAAUUCACACUAUUGACUGUCACGCCUUUACGCUUUGUCAAAAUGACACAAAAAUUGACACACAUAUGUAUCUCAAUAAGAUCUACAAAAAAGUCAGUGCGGGCGUAUCUGUCAAAUGUACGGUUAAAGGGUUAUUCCGCAUUUUUUGCCGAUCCGCACACAUUGGAAUUUCGCUAACUCCUCCGAAGGCUUUCUUUCCACCGGCACCACAUUUGCUCAGGCCAAUCUACACCCCAUGGCCAUUAAAAGUUAUUCAAAUCAUGACGCUGCACCCCACGGUUUAGGUUCUAGGGGGCGCCAAAGAUAACCCUAAAAUCCACAUAUUUCAAAGUCUUAUAACUUUUUAUUUUUGUCCUCACUGGCCUCCAAGUUUUCUAGGAUAAUGCAAUGUCCAGCCAUCAACACAUUUGUGAAGGAAUUUUUACUCCCCAAAAGAGCGCCCCCCCAUGGCAGGAGAAAAAAGUCCAUUUUUUCUUGUCCCGUAAGGUGAAAAUUCACAUUGUUGAGUGUGACACCUGUACGCUUUGUCAUAUUGACACAAAAUUUGACAAUCACGUGUAUCUCAAUAAGAUCUACGAAAAAGUCAAUGAGUGCGUAUCUGUCAAAUGUACGGUUAGAGGGCUAUUUUGCAUUUUUUGCCGAUUCGCACACAUUGGAAUGUGGCUAACUCCUCCUAAGGCUUUCGUCCCACUGACACCAAAUUUGCUCAGGCCAAUCUACACCCCAUGGCCAUUCAAAGUUGUAAAAAUCAUGACGCUGCACCCCACGGUUUACGUUCUAGGGGGCGCCAAAGAUGACCAAAAAAUCCACAUUCUUAAAAGAAUCCACAUUCUUAAAAGAAUCCCCCAUGGCAGGAGAAAAAGUCAAGUUUUUCCUGCCCAUCGCUCAAUGGCUCAAUCGCAUCGCUCUCCAGGCAACACCGUAAGGAGGAGCAACCUGCCAUUUGGAUAUAUCCCAGCUGUGUUUGUGCCCUCACUCAUGGUCCAGACUUUUUUCAAAUAGGACAUGAAGUUUGUCUGCAGCGAGUGUUUUGGUAGAAACUGCGCCUCCCAUUCAUUAUAAUGGGAAAUGACCACAGACAAGUGCGCACACCAUCUUUGGACCUUGAGUGUGACGCGAUCGGGAGGGGUAGGCGGUCACGCUGGGGGCGGCACGACGCGGCUCGGGCCCGACAGUGCCCCACCGGGGCCCUAGUUUCUUCUUUUUCCUCCCCUUUGAACUGGAAAAUGGCCCACUUCCCACUGGCGAAAACUCAUGAAAUUUGGCAGGACGACCGGGCCUGGUGAAAAAUUCGAUAUUCUGAAGUCGCCCAAACAAUAAAAUGCAAAAUGGCUCCAUAGCGCCCCCUAAGGUGGAAAUUCACACUAUUGACUGUCACGCCUGUACGCUUUGUCAAAAUGACACAAAAAUUGACACACAUAUGUAUCUCAAUAAGAUCUACAAAAAAGUCAGUGCGGCCGUAUCUGUCAAAAUUACGGUUAAAGGGUUAUUUCGCAUUUUUUGCCGAUCCGCACACAUUGGAAUUUCGCUAACUCCUCCAAAGGCUUUCGUUCCACCGGCACCACAUUUGCUCAGGCCAAUCUACACCCCGUGGCCAUUAAAAGUUAUCAAAAUCAUGACGCUGCACCCCAAGGUUUAGGUUCUAGGGGGCGCCAAAGAUAACCCUAAAAUCCACAUUUUUAAAAGUCUUAUAACUUUUUAUUUUUGUCCUCACUGGCCUCCAAGUUUUCUAGGAUGAUGCAAUGUCCAGCCAUCAACACAUUUGUGAAGGAAUUUUUACUCCCCAAAAGAGCGCCCCCCCAUGGCAGGAGAAAAAAGUCCAUUUUUUCUUGUCCCCUAAGGUGAAAAUACACAUUGUUGAGUGUCACGCCUAUACGCUUUGUCAAAAUGACACAAAAAUUGACACACACAUGUAACUCAAUAAGAUCUACAAAAAAGUCAGUGCGCGCGUAUCUGUCAAAUGUACAGUUAAAGGGUUAUUCCGCAUUUUUUGCCGAUACGCACACAUUGGAAUUUCGCUAACUCCUCCGAAGGCUUUCGUUCCACCGGCACCACAUUUGCUCAGGCCAAUCUACACCCCAUGGCCAUUAAAAGUUAUUCAAAUCAUGAUGCUGCACCCCAUGGUUUAGGUUCUAGGGGGCGCCAAAGAUAACCCAAAAAUCCACAUUCUUAAAUGUUUUAUAACUUUUUAUUUCUGUCCUCACUGGCCUCCAAGUUUUCUAGGAUGAUGCAAUGUCCAGCCAUCAACACAUUUGUGAAGGAAUUUUUACUCCCCAAAAGAGCGCCCCCCCAUGGUAGGAGAAAAAAGGCAAUUUUUUCUUGUCCCCUUACAUAAAAAGACACAUUGUUGAGUGUCACGCCUGAACGCUUUGUCAUAUUGACACAAAAUUUGACAAUCAUGUGUAUCUCAAUUAGAUCUACGAAAAAGUCAAAGAGCGCAUAUCUGUAUAAUGUACGGUUAAAGGGCUAUUUUGCAUUUUUUGCCGAUUCGCACACAUUGGAAUGUGGCUAUCUCCUCCUAAGGCUUUCGUCCCACCGAUACCAAAUUUGCUCAGGGCUAUCUACACCCCAUGCCCAUUCAAAGUUGUAAAAAUCAUGACGCUGCACCCCACGGUUUACGUUCUAGGGGGCGCCAAAGAUGACCCAAAAAUCCACAUUCUUAAAAGUCAUUUUGGCCACUGCAGGAGUACAGAGUACUGCAGUUCUAGGGGGCGCCAAAGAUGACCCAAAAAUCCACAUUCUUAAAAGUCUUUUUGGCCACUGCAGGAGUACAGAGUACUGCAGGAUACACACACAUAUACACACACGCCAACAUACACACACACACACACACAGACACACACACACAAUCAGAGUCUGUUUUUUAGCACCUGCAAAAACAUGCUGUUUACAUAUUUGACAAGAAUGCAGAGGCUUCCUUUUGCCCCUGAAAAAAAUCAAAUUUCAAACACAACUUGACUGUUCAUUUCUCCAAAAGACAACCAUGAAGCUCCAUUUCAAACCUGAAGCAGAUAGUUGGUGCAUGUGUACAGUAACCUGAGGGGAGUGAGGUGACUAUUUCUGAGGAGAACAUGAGCAGUGAAGAUUCACCUUGGAGCUAGAACAGGGACGUGCACAUGAUUAUACAGGGGCAGGGGCUCAAGUUUUUUCCAGUCAUUUAUACAAUAUGGAAAUUAAUGUGAAAUUAAACCACAAAUAUGUGUGAUGAACUGUUUUUAAAACUUAAACUUCAAAUAAAAAUUGUAAACUUCAAAACAUAUGCAAAUUUUUAACAAAGAACAUAGUAAUUUACCUCUAUUUACAUCAAAAUGCAGGCAAUGGCCCAGGCGUUCUUUGUAAAAUUAUUUACAAAACACUGUAUAGUCUCACAAAUGUCACUUUUUAUUUAUGCCACUACAAAAAAACAUGAUGUAAAUGAUGCAUGAUGUAAAACAUGAUGUAAAAAACUUGUGUAGAUCCUCCUCUAUGUCAGUCCAUGUGUAAUUUUUCCAUAAUUCUUUGUUUUUUGCAGCAUUUUUGUUAGUGUAACUGCAGAUUGUGCUGACAGUGUCUAUGGCACAAAAAAAAAAAAAAAAUUUUUAAUGCCUCAACAUGAACCCGUGGUGGUCUCUGAGGGUGAAACCUGCUAACUGCUGCAGCUCUGUCAGCUUCAGUCUCCCAUGCAGAGCUCUGAGCGCAUGUGUGGCUCUGCACCCUUAGCAGCGUUGCUAACUCCUCAGUAUGGAAAGCCUGCUUCAUGUCAGAGUCUCUAAACUCCAGAAGAAGUCGAUAAAAGUCCCUUUCUUUCUAAAAAAAAGUCGUUAGGGGGUCUGAAAAGUCAUUGAAUCUAACAACAAAGUCGCUAGGUUUGCAACUACGUGUCCCAGACUGCAUCCCUGCUGAGAGUCCCUCCCUCCCUUCUCAUGUUGCAGGAAGAACGUAAGCGCCCCCCUUGUCAAUCAGUCACCAUAUAAUUUUGGAUUGGUUGUUGUGGUGAAGUUUUCCACCAAUAGGAGAGAUGUUGUGGUGUGUUUUUUUUUUCUUUUGGCAAGCCUUUUCCGCCUGUAAGAACUGUCGCUAAUGUCUGCAUGCUAUGUUUUCCUGUCUCAUACAGCGCGAUCGAGCGCCGAACGUGAUCAAAAUAAGCAGAAAAAAAAUAUCGCGGACAUAAUUUAUCAUAACUCUGGUUUUAUUUGGCCUAUCAACACAAUUUAAAAACUGGUAUAUAGGUUGAGGUCCUCACUUUUGAGAUAAGUUGAAACGGAGAGUCAACGAGGCUCCGUCUUGCAGCUACAUCCGGUUAAAUAUGUCAUGUGACUUGAACGCACACACAGACACACACACACGCACACACACACACACACACACACACACACACACACACACACACACACACACACACACACACACACACACACACUCAGAGUCUGGUUUUUAGCACCUGCAAAAACAUGCUAUUUACAUAUUUGACAAGAAUGCAGAGGCUCCUUUUGCCCCUGAAAAAAAUCAAAUUUCAAACACAACUUGACUGGUCAUUUCUCCAAAAGACAACCAUGAAGCUCCAUCCAAACCUGAAGCAGGCAGUUGGUGCAUGUGUACAGUAACCUGAGGGGAGUGAGGUGAGUGCUUCUGAGGAGAACAUGAGCAGUGAAGAUUCACCUUGGAGCUAGAACAGAGACAUGCACAUGAUUAUACAGGGGCAGGGGCUCAAGUUUUUUCCAGUCGUUUAUACAAUAUGGAAAUUAAUGUGAAAUUAAAACACAAAGUAUUAAUAGAAAGGUAAUGACUGUCCUGUGUAGGUGACAGUGAUAUCCAAUAGGCUAGGCACUCACGAGGCUGGCUGUGGCAAGUGUAAGUGAAAGCAACACGCACUGGCAGGAAGAACAGCAAACGCCGAUGAAGGAAAAGGGUCUUUGCAGUGAUGGGCGUUACCAGAGAGGGCGAUGGCCAGAGGACACAAAUGGGACGGGGAGGCAGCACGUUGGGGGGGGGGGGGGACGCGACACGGCUCGGGCCCGCCAGUGCCCCAACGGGGUCCUAGUUAGGGCCCGAGCGUAGCUGCUAAGCAGCUGCGAGAGCCCUCUUGUUCCUGCAUGUUUCCUUCUUUAGGGCCCGAGCGUAGCUGCUAAGCAGCUGCGAGAGCCCUCUUGUUCC
Xyrichtys novacula (pearly razorfish) is the source of this 13468-nucleotide non-coding RNA. Lineage: Eukaryota; Metazoa; Chordata; Actinopteri; Labriformes; Labridae. The record is from the annotation of a GenBank genome assembly.